This 511-nucleotide long non-coding RNA is filed under the name Sorghum bicolor (sorghum). RNAcentral's name for it is "long non-coding RNA (SBIC_LNC000866)". Lineage: Eukaryota; Viridiplantae; Streptophyta; Magnoliopsida; Poales; Poaceae. The record is from RNAcentral.
UCGGGGCAAGCAAACGGGAUCAACCAUGAAACAAGCACGUCACAGAUGAUAACAAUAUAGGCAGAUGCUAACUUGAAUUCGACACUAUACAACAGAACCAUAGAGAAGGGGGCCGAAUUGAGCAGGUGCAUAGCAGAUUGAGACUGGCUUCCUUAGUUUGGAGAGAAGACAAAUCCGAGAAGAACUGGAGUGUAUCUUGGAGCCGGGACCUUUCAGCAGCUGCGGUGGUCAUGUCUCUCCAGCGAACGGACCCUGCCGAUGUAGAGGCGAGGACGACGACGGUUCGGAAGGGGAUGGAGAUGGGGAUGGCAAGAGGAGAGUCGGGGCGAGGGCGGAGGGGCCGCGACGGAGGAAAGUCGAGGCGACGGAGGAGCGGCGGCGACGAAGGAGAAGCGAGUUGUGAGGCGAGAGGAGAGGCGAGUCGAGUCGGCGGGGAACGUCGGGAACGCCGCCCGGUGUGACGAGGCCGGACAGGUUUCCCCGUCAAAACCCGGCUUCUGCGGGGGCAGAG